Pipistrellus kuhlii (Kuhl's pipistrelle) is the source of this 1005-nucleotide long non-coding RNA. RefSeq lists it as uncharacterized. The transcript has 3 exons. The record is from RefSeq and is a predicted model, not a curated record. Lineage: Eukaryota; Metazoa; Chordata; Mammalia; Chiroptera; Vespertilionidae.
UAUUUCUUUUACUCAGAAGUUUUUCUGAAGUUACUUUAUUUGUAAGGUUAAGAUAUUUAAUUUUAUCCGAUAUCCUGAUAACUUAGAAACAGCCCCAUGGCUAGAAAAGAGGAACUGGAGGGGAGGAAAGGUGCAAGUAGUUACCAUUGUAAUUAUUGAAAUGGGAUGUCUUGAUGAGAAUUAAAGUUACAUAAGUAGAUGCUUUGUGGGAGAGAAGAAUCCAGUAUAGUUGAGAUUUUCUCUUUUAUGACUAUGAUUAUAUGAUAAAGGUUACAUGAAGAGAGGUCAAGCAAUUUUUUUGUUGAUUCUUACUCUACAGAUCUUUUCCAGGAAGGUGUAUUGAUCAAAGGUAAAGAAAAAUAGUUUAUACAGUGGUGGUAGAGUUUCCAUUGAAUUGCAAGAUGGGUGAAAGAAGCUAACCAUCUAUUCCUUAAACUAAUACUUGAGCCCUUAUUUUGUUCUAGGCUCUCAAAGUUUUAGAUUUUGGAUUAACUCAAUUUUAUUGGGGUUAGAAGAGCUAUCUUUUUUUAAAUUAUUAUUGACUUAGGAAAAGACAGGGAGAGAGAGAAACAUCAAUAAUGAGAGAGAAUCAUUGAUCGGCUGACUCCUGCUCACGCCCUACUGAGAAAUGAGCCCAUAACCAAGAUAUAUGCCCUUGGCCAUAAUCAAACCUAGAAUCCAAACCAGCUAGGGCAGGAGUUAUCAUUUUGCCUCCCCCCUUUCUUUCGUUUUUUAAAAAUAUUCCUGAGCAAUGCUGCACCUUCUUGGAAAGGCAUGUGAUUAAGAGAAUAAGAGGAUUCUGGGCUACUUGGAAAAGCUAAGAGAUGGCUCUUUUGUGUUGCCUAAGGUGACAUUUUAAAUAAGAAGAAAGUUUGCAUUUGCUCAGAUCACCUUUGUUGGUUGUAUCUUUCUUGAGUGGACUGAUUAUAUUAUAGUUACUAGGAGGAGUGUGUGUGUGUGUGUGUGUGUGUGUGUGUGUGUUUAAAGAUGUGAUUGAGAGACUAU